CAGUCGCCAGAACGCCACUUGUUUACGGUUGCAACGCGUGCCCUUCGUCUAAUUUCACGAGUUCACAGUCGAAUCGCGCCGCGGAGUGCUCGAAGAGAUCCCCCUGAAUGAACAAUCGCUGUGAUAAAAUGUACAGCUGCGCGUCGACCGGCGUCGGAAACCGGUGCAAGCGUCUCAAACCGACGCGAGCUCCUGCCUCCCGCUUCGCUAAAUCCGCGAUUUCCAGACUCGCGAACUGACUGACGUUUUAGCGCGGAUAUUUUUUGCAGUGUUGCCAUCCACGGCUGGAGGGGCUCGGGGGUUCUGACAGGCACAAUUUACAUUGAGCUCGCCCCGCGCUGCUAUUUACUUUGAAACCUGAUUAGUAUGGGCCGUCUAUUGUCACCAAAAAGAGGAAGAAACCCUGGAUAGAAUAGCAGAAAAAGCGGGGUAAAGGCGAGGGGGGACAAAGCUUUUACGCAGGACAAAUAAACCUAAACCUGUGUUCAGCCGUGGAAGAAAUUCCCCAAAGUUUCAAAAUGGUUUGCCUUGGACCGGUAUCUUUAUUAUAAAAUUAAUUGAUGCCAUUCUUCCUUCUAAGCGGAUUUGUGUUUCCACACGACGUUUUGUCUUUGGCAUGCGCAUUGCGGUACAUCCUCGUCCGUAAUCUGCACAGUCUCGCCGACUAAAACUUACAGUUUAGUUUAAACGAGGUUAUAAAUGGAUGAAAAUGUCCGCGGUAGGACUGAUGCAUAAAGCAGUGCGUUGCACAAACGCGACGCCGCGCCAGCGGUCGACAGUCCCUAAAAUUAGACGGAGCAAUAAGCAAUAUUCAAUAAUUACCAAGCUCUUAUACUCUCCACUAGCACGAGUUGAUGUCACAUUAUGUCUUAAUAAUGACAGUAAUUCAAAAUCAUGUGAAGUUGCUUGGAAUUUGCAUGGGGAUUCCGGCUUUUUUGUAUCAGGGUUUCUGCAGGGUUACUGCCGCUCCAACUCAAAAAUGUCUGGAUCGCGCUGCCAUCUAGCGUACGAUGUACAAUUACAACCUCGUAUUAAUGCAUGCACGAGUCUUAGAACAUGAAUUUUUUAAAACUUAGUGCUUCAUUUAGAAAAUGAGCUGAGCGACAAUUUCACGCACGCCUUUCUCCCGUCUUGCGUUAAUUCAUGAAAAGUGCCAAGUGUUAAUGUUAAGGCUGCACACCAUAGUGCAAACUUGCAAAGAAGAACAAUACAUAUCUGUUGUAUUAACAGGAAAAAAUUAAGUGGACUCUAAAGUACACCAGCAUCCUGAUUUCCAGCUAAUUUAGAUGGAAUAUUAAGCUAAAUGAUGUGCGUAAUUAUCUCCAAAACGCGGAAAUACAGCACCUUGGGAAAAAUAACCACCCAUAAAACUAACAAUCAUUGUUCAAUAUAAAUACACGUAGUCGCAACCAGAUCUUUAACCACACAGAGAUAUUAGUAGAUAUAAUGCAGCUAAAAUAUGCAAGGGUCCCCUUUGGAAACACAUAGGAGGGAUGGGUUGUUUUUUAAGUAUUCAACAAGAGAGCUCUCUCUCGUCCCUGUCUCGGACACUCAACUGAAACUCCCCGGCCAUGUCUCCAGCUCUUUGAAAAGAUUGGAAAGGGGCUCCGCGGGAGAAAAGGAGAGUGAGAGAGGCAGCGAAUGGGAGCGGGGUAGAAGCUCUAAUAGAAAGCUGGGAAACGGCGAGAGGAAAAGAAGAAAGUGGACAACGGGACAUUAAAAGAAGACGCGCCGGCGCCGGCGGUUCCCAGUAGAGGAGCAGCCCUGCACCUGGACGAAGCGCGCCGCCGGGAAGGCAAGUACGCUGUUUAUUUCUCACUUCUCGCACGGCGCACACGCGCGGCUCCAAGCGCGACGCGGAGCCCUCCGCCGCGUCCGCGCCACACGACCGUUAACUCCAAGCGCCGCAGCCGACCCGGGCUGCGUCACACGCGCAACUUUUGAACUGCGCAACAGUCGCGUCGUCUCGCCACAUUCUCGCCGCUCGUCCCCCCCCCCCCCGUUUUCCAGCUGUCCCCGCUCGUUUGGACCCCGGGCAGCGGUAACGUUGUUGCUGGCUGGUCGGAGCGGCACCGCUGGACCCGGGAGCGCUUUUUUUUUUUUUUUUGAGACUCGCACGUCCCGCGCGCCCACCUGCGAGGCUAUUUGUUGUUUGAACACAUAAUGAAAAGAUCGAUAGCAGUCUGUUUGUCUCAGCGAUAGUGUCACCGGAUUAAAAGGCUGAUCAGGGAGACCAGCCGUUGUCAGUCCUGUGCACUCGUCCGUGCGCCAGUUCAGCCGCCAUGCAGCAUCCAACGCAAAUAUUACAGAUUCAUGCAAUAUCCCAAUGCGCCGGAAAGAACAACAGUGUGUGUCAGAAAAAAGGCUGAAGCGAGGAAAUGUAAGAUGACGUGCAAUGUAAUUUGUCAAAGCAGCAUUACUGAUGUAAAGGGACUGUAAUGAAAACUGAUAUAAAAUAAAUGAUGUGACAAUGUAGGCCAGGUUAACUUAUUCCAGGACAAACUGCACGCCUAGCAGCUUUGCAAAAUAACCUUACAUAAUAGCAUUUAACGUAAUCCUCUCAUACAUAGUUAAUGCUAGUAUUCACUGCCCACUCCUCAAGGUUCCUGCGUUUCCGUAUUUAAGCAGCUAAAUAUCUCUGCAAUGCAUCAACCUCUACGAAAGAUGCAAACAAUUAUAUAAUUUAAUUAUUGUUAGACACGGCUUCCCCCGUGUGAUAAAGCAGCCGUCACACGCCGCGAUCUGGUGCUCAGGCUUUAGAAGGCGACAAUUAGUGAUCUUGAAAUAUUAACGUCGAAUCAGAUUCUCUAUUUCAGUCACAAUCGAAUAAUCCACGAAUUGAACGUCCGUGACUGGACUCUGUGAAGUGGAGGAUUCGUCGAAGGAGCAGCUAGAAAUAGUUCAAAAAUAAUUGCAUAACAGUUUUGGCGAAUCUGUGGCGAUCAGCCACCGGUGUCGUUUUUAAAACAGUCCUAAAAUGCAGCUUUAACACAAGGGAAGCCAGAGAGCGGCGCGAUUAGUAGGGAAAUACUGAGGUCAUAAGUGCAAGCGUCCCCUCCCCAGUAAAACAACAGAUGACAGCAAGCAGACAUUUUAGAGCGUUUAAAAUGAUGCAAACGGAUGUGCAGCUUUAUAAAUGCUCGGAAUAUGUUUCGUAUUGAUUGUGUGUAAUCACAUGACGGUAAAAAACCACAGCACACAGUCAAUAAGACAUUGUGUUGGCUUGGAAGGCGAGCCCCUCGUCCAGGGGGCCUCUGCUCCAAACGCCCCGUGUGUACACGUCCAGUGUUGUGUUUGCGGACGCCGGGCUGCACGAGCACAGCUAUUAAUGAACCCCGUGACUUCUGCAUCCGCCUGCCACAGUGAAAUAAAUCAGCGAGCGAGCGGCGUGGAGUGAUGCACACCUUUAUGAGUGUGGUCACAUAGCUCCAUGUGUGGCGCUGCUCGUUUGUUUGUGUAUUAGUCACUGGUUAAUAAUCAAAUCGAUCAUGUGAGUAAACGAGAGGCAGCUCCAGUAACCUAAAACAGCUUCAGCCUCGGUGGACCGAGCUGCUGCACGCUGUGGGAAAGUUACUUCCAUUCAUAAUGGCGUAAACAACGCAAUUCACGCAGCUUUGUGAUUAAACACUUUGCUUUGCUGACAAUAACACUGUAAAGUGUCACCUACUAUCAAGUGUGGGUAGUGAUUCAUACAUCAUCUUAUAUUGUUUUAUAUAUAUUUAGACUGUAUAAACUUUUGUUUUUUUCUUCCCAUACUGAAAAGUAAAAUCACGAUCAUCCAUUAAGAUUUAUUCUGAUACAUCACAUAUGUGACUUUGACAAUAAAGUUUAUACAUUACAUAUUUAGUUAUAGUAAACAAUAUGGCGAGUAUAAUUUCCUCGUGCACGUAAUCCAGAGUCAUUUUGUUCCUAUAUAUGAACUUUAUUUCUGUUUUAUUAUGAUAUUAAUUAGUCAGACAUUGUCCAUAUUAAAUAACAAUAAUGUUUCCGACCACUUUUAAACGCCAGCGGUGUUUUUAAGCUCUCUAUAUAGAAGCCCAGUAGGUGCAGUGAGGUAACUUUUCCUCAACGUCUCAAUAGCACCAAACUUAACAGUGACACUGGGGGAAGAUGAGGAAAAUACUUUUGACCGUACGCGCUGCGACGAACACAACACAAACACGAAGCCUGUCAUAUUUUCGCAAAUCCUAAAUUGAGAGAAAACAAGUCUCUCUCUCGUGCUUGAAUUGAAUUGGAGGUUUUGUUGCUUUGAGAGGUGGUGUGUGUGUGUGUGUGUGUGUGUGUGUGUGUGUGUGUGUGUGUGUGUGUGUGUGUGUGUGUGUGUGUGUGUGUGUGUGUGUGUGUGUGUGUGUGUCUGCGCGCGUGCGUGCGUGGGCUUGGGGGGCUGCUGCUUCUUUUUUUGUCCAAAUCUGAUCCCCAAAUUAUUCUGGGGGCUCAGAUUGGUGUGAAAGGGACGAGAAGGUCACUUGAAAUCGCUUUUUAUCCGCUGGCUUUUUUUUUCUAUGGAUCAGCAACUUUCAAUAGACAUAAUCUAAUCGCUCUUAAUGGAAAGGCCAUUGGUGAGAAAUAGUGGAAAUAUCGUCGAGCCUAUAGGCUACAGCUAUUUAGGACCGGAGCAACAAGAAAUCACAAAACAGGAUGAAUAUUAAUUAUUAGAGCAGCCUGAAGAGUGUCUCCACUCAACAGCGGCAGUUUAUAGCAAAUUAAAAUCAACAGAUGUAAGCGACAGUCUGUGUAGUCAGGGUAGAUAUAACUUUAUCUUUUUUAUAAUAAUCCAGUUAAUUCCUAUGUUACUUCAUCAUAACGCUGUACAUGGUUUUAUCUAUUCAUCAUAAAAUCACUUCAGUUCGACAGUAAAACAGCUCGCAUAGAGAUGUUAUUGUUAGUUUCCUCAUUAUUUCUAAUGUGGCCUCGCGUCUCCAGAGAUGUGAGAUCCUUCCGUUUCAGAUGUGUUAAAUGAAAGUCUCUUUCCAGGAUUUCUGCAUCCCGGACUAUAAUUGAGGACAAUAACUGCAAUGACUUUCCCAAUUAGGCUUGAGGUUGGAGUUAAGUUAGAGGGACUGUCAGUUUAUGCUAUGGGCAAUGGCUUUAUUGCUCACUAACCAUCACUUCUUUGGAGCCUAUGUGCUAAUUACUUUGGAUGGUCCCAGGGACGGAGAUCAUAAAUCCAUUAGCACUCAAACCCUCGUGGUUCCGCAGUGCAAACACUGUAAUUUCGUAGCACACCAAAAAAACCCAAGUCAAAGCACCAGAAGCUGCAUGAAUGGAAACACAUUUCAGCGGCGCGUGCACCUCUUAGGGCUCCAGUGUGAGAGGAAGCCUCGCGUAUAUCAAUCAGCAGCUAAACACACAGAGUAAACUAAGCAUAACAGAAAGCUACUAGCAGGAGAGGUGUUUUAGCAGACGGAGCUGCUGCUGUCCAUGUGUGGUGGAUGGGCGGAAAAAGUACCUGUUUGUUUGCACUUAAUGCGACCCAGGAAUCUUAUUGUUAUUAUGUAUAUUAUAUUUUGGAUCUAUUUUAAUAUAAGUUUGGGAAAUCAUUUAUUCUCGGUCCCCAAGUGCCUUUGACGUAUCUAGGGAGAAAUGCCGCCUGGAGGAAUAAAGUGAAUUAAAAUACGACUUAAUACCUGUUUGACUGAGUUUAAAGGAGCCAAUACAUAAACCGGGAUCCGCACGGGGGUGCGUGAAGGCGUCUCACCCUUAAAGUAAUUUAUUUCAGGGAAACCGGAGGGCAAAGGUGGAAUUCUUGAGAAAUUCAACAAGGAUAAGGGAGCUUUAGGAAUUCUGCACGCAGAUUACCUUUCAUUCCAUCCUCACAUUAUCCGACAACACACAGUAGAAAUAUAGCUCGGCGACAAAAGAGCGAGAUUACCCUCCGACACAGAGGAGCGCAAAACAAUUUUUUAAGAAGUGUGCGAUUAUUAGGGGGGCGAAGGAGAAGAGAAAGGCAGGGGAGGAGAGGGGAGGAAGGGGGGUCACCGCUCCCUGUGCGCCUCCGAAGGGGGGAGGAAAAAAGAUGACAGAGCUCAGCGUUCCUAAAGUGUCCUGUCACUGUGGUGGCGCAGAGUGGACGCUCCAGGACAGGGUUCACGUGCCUUGACUUUACGUGGGCUCUACAUCCACGCAAUUAAUAUGAAAGACCAUGCAUUUAUUAAUAGAAGUCAUUAUCAUUUAAACCCGUUUCCCUCAGGUCCAUCUGCUGGUUACAAUGCCUUAUCAGGGUUCAGGUCCAAAGGUCAGACUUCUACAUUUAGGUUCAAUAAUUAUUUCAUUUUUUUUGUCAUAUUCUGCUUUUGGUUUGUUACUGGCUGAGUGGCAUCCCAUCAGAACUGCAUUAUUUCCCCCAAAACCAACACGCAGCAGGGGCUUAAUUAGAAAUGUAGUGUAGCUGAACCAUGAGGCUGCUGCAGCUGAGAAUGACGGAGCACACUGUUGCCGUUUAGUUUAAUUCAGUCAAGAGGAAGCAGAAAAUAAUUUCCUCAGAAAUAUCAACAAAUAAAAAUAAACACGUCGAUUCAUUUAAGUUUAGUAACCAUGAAACUAUUCUAAGCAAUAAAUUAAUAAAUUAAGGGGUGUGAUCGUGACACUGUGACAUGAUAUUCAUAGUACUAAAAUAUAAAUCUGCUCAAUACUAUAUAUAUAUAUAUAUAUAUAUAUAUAUAUAUAUAUAUAUAUAUAUAUAUAACUGAAGCUUUAAUAAAAAUAACCGAAAGAUACUCCCUCCAUCUCACACCCACAGACAAAUCCCUCCUGAGGUUUUGUGCGCUUUAAUUUGAAAGGUGUGUGUCUUGAGUUUGCGUGUGGAGGCACAUGUGUGUGAACAGACAAGUCAAGUGAAGGUGUGGAGGUGUCCUGUGUUUAGUGUCCAGACCUGGCAGAUUGUGACCUUAUCAAUGUGAAACUCUUAAGAUAAAUUAUUCAUAGCACCUGUUUGAUGUCUGCGGCCAAAGAAUGACAAAGGUGUAAGAUUUAAGAUGCAUCUCGGAGCCCUGAAUAUCAGCUCCGGCGCUUCCUGUGUCUUUUUCAAAGAGCAGAACGAGUUGUUUGACGAGGGAGAGGUUUUCUUUUGAAAGAGUAAAAAUAAACAAUUUGUUUCCUAAACGCGGCCGCAGAACUGAGUCAUCACCGAGCACCACCAUCUUCAUUUGCACAUAAGCGUAACUGCACCUGCCUUUUUCAGGUCCUGACGUCGUGUGAUUCACAGGUGUCACAGUCGGCUGUUUGAAACCCGAAGCGGGGACUCCGGGAGUGAUCCAGCGGCGCUGACCUCGUCCUCCGUGAGCGGCCGCGCGUGUGUUUGUGUCUCCUCACAGGCGCAGAGGGCAGCGUGGCGGCCGGGCGUCUGGAAGCGCGGGGGAGACGACGGCGUUGCCGCUAAACUGGAAGUGUUGGGACCAUUCACCCUGUAGUUAUAGAUAUGAACACAUUACAGGUAAAUUACCGCACAGCUUCUGAGACGGACUCGUUUCCUAGCAUCAUUUAUUCGGUACGUUGUGUAAGCGUGUUUAUGAAGUCCGAGUCCAAGUUGUUCCACUCAAACGUCCUGGAACUCAAAGAGCAUGUGAGUGAUUUGUCUUGGAAACAGAGCGGGCUUUUUGGGAAGCCGGCAGCUGAUCUUGUCACGGCUAGAGGUCAACACAACACUCGGCAUUAAUAAAACAAAUAAGGCCGCGAUAGAUAUUAAUGAUGACCGACGCAGAUGUUGAAUUAUGCCAGCGCCGAAGGAAAGUGCACUCACAACGUAUUGUAUGUUUACUUGCCUGUGUGUGUGUGUGUGUGUGUGUGAUAGCGGGGUCCUGUUUCUUUCAGAUGUUCCCUUUGACCUUUGACCCCUGAGCCGGGGGGUCAAGCCCUGACAAAUGAGAUGGUCGAGUUUUGGACAGAACUGCAAACAUUCCACAACAAUCUCGCGUCCUGCCCCCCCCCCCCCCCCCCCCCACAUCCGUCAUUCCUCACCCCUCCACUCCUCCCCUCUCACUGUGUCAGACAGAAGUCCUCAUUAAAACGUAAACACAUCUUAUCAUAUUUGCUACGAUCGCGCCCCUUCGACUUAGGAUUUGCAGCGCCGGUGCAGUUCAACGCCACAGACGGGAGCCCCGUUCGCGGGAAGGGAACGAAGGGCGUGCGACGUCGGCGGAGAAGCCAUGUUAAACAUUUGGAUAUUACAACGCUGCACUUUGAGAGCACACUGUGCGUGUUUGGGGAGCUUGUCAACGAUGUCAAAGAUGAGAAAUGUUGCAGUGUGGCUUUUUACACACGCUGCUGGCUCUAGCAUUUCCGGCAACAUUUCUCACUCUGCCUCCCUCACACCAUCCGCUCUGCUGCAAUAUCCCCACAUUUUUCCAUCCUUUCACUUCUUCUCCCUCCCUCCCUCCCUCCCUCCCUGCUCGCCUCCCUGCUCUCGGACCACUCUUACUCCCAUUACCCGUCCUCCCCGCUGCCCCAUCCGACUCUCCCUCCCUUCUCUCCACUUACAGCACUCUCACUGCCCCCCUCCCUUUUUUUCCUCCACCCACUAUUUUCUCUGAUUUCUAACAUGCUGCUCCACAGAAUGCUACCACCUGUGUCUUUAGGGGGAAAAGGCAGCUUUUGGAAUUCCUCUGUGUUAAGGUAAACUGGCAUCCUUUAUUAGACAAUAGUAGAUCUGGUCUGGGCGUUUCUUGCAUUCCCUUUGUUUUAUGUAAUGACCGGGAUCCUAAUCUCCACCGGAAGCUGUGCUGUGCAGACACGCACGGUCAGCAUCCGCCGACGUCAGCGGAGCAGCCACAGACGAGGCCGGGGACCGACGGCGGCCUCUUCCACGGUAACGCUAAGUGAUGAAAUCUCACUAAAAGGCAACGCAACACCGCAAAGAUCUUAAUAAAAGCACAUCAAUUUCA
Long non-coding RNA from Betta splendens (Siamese fighting fish), 8879 nucleotides. RefSeq lists it as uncharacterized. NCBI's taxonomy places the organism in Eukaryota, Metazoa, Chordata, Actinopteri, Anabantiformes, Osphronemidae. The record is from RefSeq and is a predicted model, not a curated record. The transcript has 2 exons.